CCGAGUUUACAACUCCCAAACCCCUGUGAACAUACCUAUACGUUGCCUCGGCGGAUCAGCCCGCGCCCCGUAAAAAGGGACGGCCCGCCCGAGGACCCCGAAACUCUGUUUUUAGUGGAACUUCUGAGUAAAACAAACAAAUAAAUCA
RNAcentral lists this unclassified non-coding RNA (148 nucleotides) under soil metagenome. RNAcentral's name for it is "partial internal transcribed spacer 1". The record is from RNAcentral.